AGGGGCCAAGCUGCAAACUAUUUUUACUGGGAGAUCAUUCAUAGGAUAUUUCAAGAUAUUGAGAUAAGAAUUCAAGGGAAAAGAGUCCCAGUGCCUCAAAGUAGUAUACUUCUGAAAUUGAUAUCCAACAUUAGUGUUGUGAAUAUUAAGGUAGAUUUUCUAACUUAGUGUUGUGAAUAUUAAGGUAGAUUUUCUAUACCUAAAAGUUAACAAGCUAAAGGACAAAGUAGCUAAAUUGGAACAGUCUAUGCAUGAUGAUAUUAAGUUGACUAUUGU
RNAcentral lists this long non-coding RNA (276 nucleotides) under Elaeis guineensis (African oil palm). Its description in RNAcentral is "long non-coding RNA (EGUI_LNC040066)". The record is from RNAcentral. Lineage: Eukaryota; Viridiplantae; Streptophyta; Magnoliopsida; Arecales; Arecaceae.